GGGGAUGUAGCUCAGCAGGUUAGAGCGCUGUGUUCACAUCGCAGAGGUCCACGGUUCGAGCCCGUGCAUCCCCACCA
RNAcentral lists this transfer RNA (77 nucleotides) under Clostridia bacterium. Its description in RNAcentral is "tRNA-Val". It matches the Rfam family "tRNA". From Rfam's summary of the family: Transfer RNA (tRNA) molecules are approximately 80 nucleotides in length. Their secondary structure includes four short double-helical elements and three loops (D, anti-codon, and T loops). Further hydrogen bonds mediate the characteristic L-shaped molecular structure. tRNAs have two regions of fundamental functional importance: the anti-codon, which is responsible for specific mRNA codon recognition, and the 3' end, to which the tRNAs corresponding amino acid is attached (by aminoacyl-tRNA synthetases). tRNAs cope with the degeneracy of the genetic code in two manners: having more than one tRNA (with a specific anti-codon) for a particular amino acid; and 'wobble' base-pairing, i.e. permitting non-standard base-pairing at the 3rd anti-codon position. The record is from RNAcentral. Lineage: Bacteria; Bacillati; Bacillota; Clostridia.